Non-coding RNA from Pelobates cultripes (western spadefoot toad), 625 nucleotides. The record is from the annotation of a GenBank genome assembly. NCBI's taxonomy places the organism in Eukaryota, Metazoa, Chordata, Amphibia, Anura, Pelobatidae.
CCCCACCAUACUGCAAACUACUUUAUGAAAGCUUUAUGAAAAACAAAUGUAAUUUUACAUUUAAAAAAUUCUUUAUCAUUUUCCAGAAUGCAUUCAAGUAUACAUAUUCAUUGUCGACAUUGUGACUGUCUACAGCAAGCAUGUCAAACAUGGGCCGCACGAGGCCCACACGGAGUAUCUUUGUGGCCCAGGGCCAGACUGGCAAUGUAUUAAAUUGAGGGGGGCUGGGGGGAGGAGGGUGGCAGUGUAUUAAAUUAAGGGGAAGGAGAAGAGCAGUGUAUUAGAAUGGGGGGAGAAAGUGAGGGCAGUGUAUUAAAUUGGAGGUAGGUAGGUGGGGAAGUCUAUUAGAGUGAGGGGGGCACUGUAUUAAAUUGGGGGGAGAGUGGGGCAAUAUAUUAAAUUAGGGGGAGGGAGGGGAGGCAUUUUAUAAAAUUAGAGUGGAGGGAGAGAGCAGUGUAUUAGAUUGGGGAAUGGGGGGCAGUGUAUUAGAGUGGUGGUGGUGGUGGCGGCAGUGUAUUAAAUUAGAGUGGAGGCUGAUUGGGAGGCCGUAUAUUAGUGUGGGGGAGCGGGGCUGCAGGAGGCUCUGUAUUAGAUUGGGGGGCAUAGUAAGUAACUUGAAGCAAAG